Molecule: long non-coding RNA, 1662 nt
Organism: Bemisia tabaci
Lineage: Eukaryota; Metazoa; Arthropoda; Insecta; Hemiptera; Aleyrodidae
Source: RefSeq, a predicted model, not a curated record
GAAAUGAGUUUGUCAUCUGGGCGGAAUGUAUUUAUACAGGCAUCGAAGAUACGUGGAUGGCAUUGAACGGCGAAGGCUUCCUAAUCUCAUUACCUGGGGUGGCUGUGACGAAACUAGGAGGAGUAAAACACUAGCCAUUCGAUUCGCUUUUAUCGAAUGAGAUGAAUUCCUCAGGAAAACGAAGCCCUAAAUUGCGGACGGGUAUUUUGCUCCAGAUUUACUCAUUCACACCCCGUGACUUCCUUUCUAUCAGCUGAGAAUUUUGUGUCAAACCUAGGCUCUUGGUUUAUUCGUUCGAUUUUUACGUAGGUGUUAAUUUAUUAACCCCCUGGCAGAAAACGCAGAGGACGCCCUGCCAAAUCGUGGAUUGAGAGAAUGAGAUCGCAACACUUGCAUUUUGUGAUUCAUCAAUGGAGAGAGCAUGAGAAAAGAACAACUUCGACGGGAAGUUUAGGUCUGUAUCCAUGACCCUAUCAAAACGGCGGCCGGAUAUUGUUCGAAAUGGUCAGAAAACAAUAUCUCUGUAACUUGUGACCAGGUUUGCUUCAAAAAUGGUUAUAACUUCAGUAUUAUGCUGUUACUAGUUUAAGCUAUUAGAACAAAUAAACAUAGGUAGCUAUUAAAAUAUUUAAUAUUACGGUUUUAUUUUAUUUUAUAUAUAUUAUAUUUUAUUAAAUUACGGUUUUAUAUAUUACAAUAGCUAAUUUUACGGUUUUCAAGUUAGUUUGGGUUAUGCUGAACACACAUUUGAUGCUACCUUUUCAAAAUACCCAAUCCUUUCUAAAACUGCGACCUUAACACAGCGAAAAACUGGUAUUUUUCCGGUUCUCCAAUUGAUAUGCUUCAAACUUUGUCAAAACUUAGUUUCUUUGGAAAAGCUGCGAAAUGUCAGGAGAAAAAACAUAAGUUGGGAAAAGCAGGGAAUAUAGUGAAUUCACUAUACAAAGGAUUAGACUGCAGUGGAUUGUAGGUAACUAGCGAAGCUCAAGAGUGCAGGGGGGGACACCAGAAGUGAGGAAAAACGGGGAAAAUCAUGGGAAAUAGGAAAAGCUCAGGAAAAACAUGAAAAGGUCAGAAAAAAGGGGAUGGAGGAAAGCCUUCCGGCACUCGCUAUUUACUUUGAAUGAAAUGGAUUGCUGGUUUCUGAUGGAGAUGGACACUAUCAGGGAAGGAUCGGGAAAAACAAAGGAUAAAGGAAGUUUACAACAAGAAUUUGAAUGGGGAGGAUUGCAUGAAGUUUUUGACUUAAAUUGUGGUUGCGGGUGUGGGGGAGAAUAUUGGAAAUCAAGAAGAUCAGAGAAAUAUCGGGGCGGGGAGGGGGAGGAGGGGGGGGAUACAGGAAAAUUGUUUGCAAGUGAAUUAGAAUAAAGAGGCUUGCAUGUUCCUAACAAAAGUUGGGAGUGUCAGAGAUAAGAAAAAAAAAUCAAAGAAGACAGUGGAAAUCUACGAAAAUAAGAGAAUUUCUUUUGUUGACCAUGGACACAAAACAUUCUCACUGUGUUAUUCUUGAAAUGCCUGCUCCACCGGUCUAACCGUUGUAUGGAACCUUGUCUGUCCUUCAUGUGCCCAUGCUCACUCGUCUUUUGUCAUCCAGAGUGCUCAACAGCACAACCUUCCUGGUAUGCGUGUUUUACUGAAUAAAUCUUGCUAUGUGAUCGUCAA